Molecule: transfer RNA, 71 nt
Filed under: Hippocampus abdominalis (big-belly seahorse)
Lineage: Eukaryota; Metazoa; Chordata; Actinopteri; Syngnathiformes; Syngnathidae
Description: tRNA-Ser
Rfam family: tRNA
About the family: Transfer RNA (tRNA) molecules are approximately 80 nucleotides in length. Their secondary structure includes four short double-helical elements and three loops (D, anti-codon, and T loops). Further hydrogen bonds mediate the characteristic L-shaped molecular structure. tRNAs have two regions of fundamental functional importance: the anti-codon, which is responsible for specific mRNA codon recognition, and the 3' end, to which the tRNAs corresponding amino acid is attached (by aminoacyl-tRNA synthetases). tRNAs cope with the degeneracy of the genetic code in two manners: having more than one tRNA (with a specific anti-codon) for a particular amino acid; and 'wobble' base-pairing, i.e. permitting non-standard base-pairing at the 3rd anti-codon position.
Source: RNAcentral
AAGAAAGUGACAGAGUGGUCUUGUGGAUGGCUUGAAACCAUCCAACGGGGGUUCAAUUCCCUCCUUUCUCG